GAUGAAGAACGCAGCAAAAUGCGAUAAGUAAUGUGAAUUGCAGAAUUCAGUGAAUCAUCGAAUCUUUGAACCCACAUUGCGCCCGCCAGUACUCUGGCGGGCAUGCCUGUCCGAGCGUCAUUUCAACCCUCAGGGCCCUCCAGCAGGGCGCUGGUGUUGGGGAUCGGCAGUCCCAGCGGCUGCCGUCCCUGAAAUGUAGUGGCGGUCCCACCGUGACCUCCCCUGUGCAGUACAUCGCUCGCAGAGGGACAGCGGUGCGGCCACGCCGUAAAACGCCCAACUCUUCAAGGUUGACCUCGGAUCAGGUAGGACUACCCGCUGAACUUAAGCAUAUCAAUAAGCGGAGGA
Molecule: unclassified non-coding RNA, 348 nt
Filed under: soil metagenome
Description: partial contains 5.8S ribosomal RNA, internal transcribed spacer 2, and large subunit ribosomal RNA
Rfam family: 5.8S ribosomal RNA (bases 1-120)
Source: RNAcentral